Molecule: long non-coding RNA, 578 nt
Filed under: Pongo abelii (Sumatran orangutan)
Lineage: Eukaryota; Metazoa; Chordata; Mammalia; Primates; Hominidae
Description: lincRNA
Source: RNAcentral
UCGGGACUAUUGGGUCACCCUGGGUAGUCGGGACUUUAGACUGAGCUGUCUUGGUCACUCAGGGGGCAGUUGGCAGAGUAUUCGUGGUCAGGGAGGUGACCCAUGGUCAGCAGGGUCAGGCCACCCAGGGACAAAGGGUCCUCCUGCACCGGGCCCUGGAGAAGGACAGACCGGUGGGGACUUGGGGUCAGCGGGGGAGCCUCCGCGGAUGGGGAGUCACCACCUGCCGGGUUCAAGCCAUUCUUCUGCCUCAGCCUCCCGAGUAGCUGGGACUACAGCCACCCACCACCAUGCCUGGCUACUUUUUUGUAUUUUAGUAGAAACGGGGUUUCACCGUGUUGGUCAAGAUGGUCUCGAUCUCCUGACCUCAAUCUGACCGCCUUGGCCUCCCGAAGUGCUGGGAUUAUAGCAAUCAGCCAUGACUGUCUUUGCAUUGUCCAUGCUCUCAGCCUACCACCUCCUCCCCCUGCCAUUGCAAGUGGCUAACACUGGGAAUGAAGACCAAGACACCACGGCCUUUCUCCAAUACCUCUCAAAUCAACACAGACAAGGACAAACGUCUCAAUCCACAACUGCUG